RNAcentral lists this ribosomal RNA (402 nucleotides) under uncultured bacterium. RNAcentral describes it as "bacterial SSU rRNA". It matches the Rfam family "Bacterial small subunit ribosomal RNA", at positions 29 to 416 of the family's 1533-position model. The record is from RNAcentral.
AACGAACGCUGGCGGCGUGCCUAACACAUGCAAGUCGUGCGAGAAAGUUCCUUCGGGAGCGAGUAAAGCGGCGCACGGGUGAGUAACACGUAGGUAACCUGCCCCCCAGUCUGGAACAACUAGAGGAAACUCUAGCUAAUGCCGGAUGAGACCACGAUCCCUUCGGGGGUUGCGGCCAAAGAUGGCCUCUACUUGUAAGCUAUCGCUGAGGGAUGGGCCUGCGGGCCAUUAGCUUGUUGGUGAGGUAACGGCUCACCAAGGCUGUGAUGGCUAGCUGGUCUGAGAGGAUGACCAGCCACACUGGGACUGAGACACGGCCCAGACUCCUACGGAGGCAGCAGUGGGGAAUAUUGCGCAAUGGCGAAAGCCUGACGCAGCGACGCCGCGUGGGUGAUGAAGGCC